Molecule: ribosomal RNA, 567 nt
Filed under: Rhodococcus sp. 384F01
Lineage: Bacteria; Bacillati; Actinomycetota; Actinomycetes; Mycobacteriales; Nocardiaceae
Description: bacterial SSU rRNA
Rfam family: Bacterial small subunit ribosomal RNA
Source: RNAcentral
GAGCGGCGAACGGGUGAGUAACACGUGGGUGAUCUGCCCUGCACUUCGGGAUAAGCCUGGGAAACUGGGUCUAAUACCGGAUAUGACCAAAGGCUGCAUGGCUUUUGGUGGAAAGGUUUACUGGUGCAGGAUGGGCCCGCGGCCUAUCAGCUUGUUGGUGGGGUAAUGGCCUACCAAGGCGACGACGGGUAGCCGACCUGAGAGGGUGACCGGCCACACUGGGACUGAGACACGGCCCAGACUCCUACGGGAGGCAGCAGUGGGGAAUAUUGCACAAUGGGCGAAAGCCUGAUGCAGCAGACGCCGCGUGAGGGAUGACGGCCUUCGGGUUGUAAACCUCUUUCAGCAGGGACGAAGCGCAAGUGACGGUACCUGCAGAAGAAGCACCGGCCAACUACGUGCCAGCAGCCGCGGUAAUACGUAGGGUGCGAGCGUUGUCCGGAAUUACUGGGCGUAAAGNAGCUCGUAGGCGGUUUGUCGCGUCGUCUGUGAAAACCAGCAGCUCAACUGCUGGCUUGCAGGCGAUACGGGCAGACUUGAGUACUGCAGGGGNAGACUGGAAUUCCU